AGUGAACGCUGGCGGCGUGCUUAACACAUGCAAGUCGAACGAGUACGGAAUAUAGCUUGCUAUAUUUGUCAGCUAAGUGGCGCACGGGUGAGUAAUGUAUAAAUAACCUGCCCUUAAGAAAGGAAUAACAGUUGGAAACGACUGCUAAUGCCCUAUAUGCCUUUAAUACAUAAGUAUGCAAGGGAAACGCUUUAGUGCUUAAGGAUGGGUCUGUAUGGUAUCAGCUUGUUGGUGAGGUAAUGGCUCACCAAGGCUAUGACGCCUAACUGGUUUGAGAGGAUGAUCAGUCACACUGGAACUGAGACACGGUCCAGACUCCUACGGGAGGCAGCAGUGGGGAAUAUUGCACAAUGGACGAAAGUCUGAUGCAGCAACGCCGCGUGGAGGAUGACACAUUUCGGUGCGUAAACUCCUUUUAUAUAGGAAGAUAAUGACGGUACUAUAUGAAUAAGCACCGGCUAACUCCGUGCCAGCCGCCGCGGUAA
This 485-nucleotide ribosomal RNA is filed under the name uncultured bacterium. RNAcentral describes it as "partial 16S ribosomal RNA". It matches the Rfam family "Bacterial small subunit ribosomal RNA", at positions 29 to 523 of the family's 1533-position model. The record is from RNAcentral.